GAUGCUGCAGUGGGAGUGUGGAGAGAUGUGAAGGCAACAGCAGGAAUAAUGAUAAGAUUGGUUGUGAGGUACUGUAUAGAUGAGAUGGAUAGGACCAGAGAUGCACCUGAGAGCAGGAGGAAAAGGAGAGGAAAAUGGUCAUGUGGGUGCCAGAUAGUACUGCAUAACCUCUCCUUUUGAAUUUGAGGUACCUGCGUCUGCCAAGAGUAGCUUUUCCAUUUCACAACCAUCACACUUUCCUGUGAGUUCAGAGUUAAUGAAGACAUGUGGAUGCAAAAGGAAAACUUGCAGAGCAAAGUCAUUGCCAAACAGGUUGUGUAGCCUGACCUGUGAAACAUUGUGAAGAAGGAAGAUCGCAGUUUCAGGGAAGAUGACUCGAUAACACCACAGAACAGGUGCCAGGAACUCUGCUAGAUGCUGGAGAUCGACAAAUGAAUAGGAGUUUGAUGACUGAAGCUCAAAUCUCAUCUCUUUCACUUGCUAACUCAAGCACUG
This 495-nucleotide long non-coding RNA is filed under the name Homo sapiens (human). Its description in RNAcentral is "HSALNT0300758". Lineage: Eukaryota; Metazoa; Chordata; Mammalia; Primates; Hominidae. The record is from RNAcentral.